AUUGAACGCUGGCGGCAGGCCUAACACAUGCAAGUCGAACGAGUGGCGGACGGGUGAGUAAUGUCUGGGAAACUGCCUGAUGGAGGGGGAUAACUACUGGAAACGGUAGCUAAUACCGCAUACCAUCGGAUGUGCCCAGAUGGGAUUAGCUAGUAGGUGGGGUAAAGGCGAACCUAGGCGACGCUCCCUAGCUGGUCUGAGAGGAUGACCAGCCAACCUGGAACUGAGACACGGCCCAUACGCCUAAGGGAGGCAGCAGUGGGGAAUAUUGCACAAUGGGCGCAAGCCUGAUGCAGCCAUGCCGCGGGUAUGAAGAAGGCCUUCGGGUUGUAAAGUACUUUCAGCGUGGAGGCGUUACCCGCAGAAGAAGCACCGGCUAACUCCGUGCCAGCAGCCGCGGUAAGUC
Molecule: ribosomal RNA, 406 nt
Filed under: uncultured bacterium
Lineage: Bacteria
Description: partial 16S ribosomal RNA
Rfam family: Bacterial small subunit ribosomal RNA
Source: RNAcentral